This 987-nucleotide long non-coding RNA is filed under the name Pomacea canaliculata. RNAcentral's name for it is "uncharacterized LOC112563984". Lineage: Eukaryota; Metazoa; Mollusca; Gastropoda; Architaenioglossa; Ampullariidae. The record is from RNAcentral.
UAUUGUGAGCUCCUCCAUUAGUCUCGGUGCUUUUUCUCUUUUUUUUUUAAAUUUUGUGAAGACGUGUGCACUUAAUGAAGCAUGCCACGGCCAAGAAAGUGGUAUCCAGCUGGAUAUACGGUAAAUUCGGGCAGGUUGGUAAACGUAAGGAACGAUUUUCCGCCGUGGAUGUGAGAGGUUUGAUGCGGUAAAGAGAACUCUUCGACAGGGGCAAAAUGGACGUGUAAGCACCCAGACACAGGAGGAACGUGACACCUUCCAGGAUAUUCUUCGAGAUAGCAACAAUGGAACCAGUUUUCAAAAGAACCACGGCUUUUAAUGUGUUCUGCAGCAAAAGGCUGAAGGAUUGGACAAAUACUAAUUCUCUGGAAGUUGCAUUAAAGGAAUUGCCAAAGGCCAAAAGAACACGAGUCACAUGGGAUGCAAUUACAGUUAAAGCAUAAGAAAACAGUUUGGGGCCUCUUGGGGCCGUUGAUCACAUACCCAGUUCAAUAGAAAUUGAAUAAAUUUGCCAGAACAAUCCAGUUUUGGCUAAAUUUGAUAUUAAUUCUUUGAUAUUAAUCAAAUUGACCAGAAAAUUUAUAAAGUAGAAUGAAAAGAAAAUAACAUUUAUUAUUUGUGGUUUACAUUUGUGCAUAGCUUAGGAUGCACUUUAAAUUUAGUCAGAUAAGACAUUAUGAAUCAUCUUGCAUAUUGUGACUUCUGGCUAUACAUACAAAUAUUUGGCGCUUCAGUAACUGCAUUGGCUUUGGAGCAGAGUAGUGCUGAAUGAUUUUCCAUUGCAGUCCUAACAGCAGAUUGUAAAAUGUGAUUCAUAUACAUCAAGUCAAUACUGUCAUGUAUAUAUGGGAGUAAGUGUGCUGUUUUCUCUUUUCGUUUGUUUUAAAUUUGUAUGAAUAUAUUUCGCUCAUUGUAAAAUUUCUUCUUCAAUGUGGACAUAAAAACAUUUCAUGGGAUUAAAAAGUGUAUGUCAGUUUUCAGAAGAAA